Molecule: ribosomal RNA, 510 nt
Filed under: uncultured bacterium
Lineage: Bacteria
Description: bacterial SSU rRNA
Rfam family: Bacterial small subunit ribosomal RNA
Source: RNAcentral
AACGAACGUUGGCGGCGUGGAUGAGGCAUGCAAGUCGAACGUGAAAACCUUCGGGUGAGUAGCGUGGCGGACGGGCGAGUAACACGUAAUCAAGCUACCUGCUAGACGGGGAUAACUUCGGGAAACCGAUCGUAAGACCCGAUGGGCUCACGACACCGCAUGGUGAUGUGAGUAAAUGGACGGGACCCUCCGGGGCCGUCUGCUAGUGGAGGUGAUUGCGGCCCAUCAGCUUGUUGGUAGGGUAAUGGCCUACCAAGGCUACGACGGGUAGCCGGCCUAAGAGGGUGGCCGGUCGCACUGGGACUGAGACACUGCCCAGACUCCUACGGGAGGCUGCAGUCGAGAAUCUUCCGCAAUGGACGAAAGUCUGACGGAGCGACGCCGCGUGCGGGAUGAAGGCCCUUGGGUUGUAAACCGCUGUCAGAGGGGAUGAAAUCUCCGGGGGUACUCCCCCGGAGUUGACAGAGCCUCAAAGGAAGCACGGGCUAAGUACGUGCCAGCAGCCGCGGU